GAUGAAGAACGCAGCGAAAUGCGAUACUUGGUGUGAAUUGCAGAAUCCCGUGAACCAUCGAGUCUUUGAACGCAAGUUGCGCCCGAAGCCACUAGGCCGAGGGCACGCCUGCCUGGGCGUCACACGUCGUUGCCCCCCACCAUCUACUCCUUCGGGAUUGCGGGGGGCGGAUGAUGGCCUCCCGUGCGCCUAGCCGCGCGGUUGGCAUAAAUACCAAGUCCUCGGCGACGCACGCCACGACAAUCGGUGGUUGCGAAACCUCGGUUGCCCGUCGUGUGCGUUCGUCGCGCAUCGAGGGCUCGAAAAAAUGCUCGGCUCCGGCUCGGCUUUCAACGCGACCCAGGUCAGGCGGGGUUACCCGCUGAAUUUAAGCAUAUCAAUAAGCGGAGGA
Molecule: unclassified non-coding RNA, 391 nt
Filed under: soil metagenome
Description: partial contains 5.8S ribosomal RNA, internal transcribed spacer 2, and large subunit ribosomal RNA
Rfam family: 5.8S ribosomal RNA (bases 1-122)
Source: RNAcentral